AUACUAUUGAAGAGUCCCAAACUAGGACGAAACAGCUGUCCAGUAC
Trichobilharzia regenti is the source of this 46-nucleotide non-coding RNA. Lineage: Eukaryota; Metazoa; Platyhelminthes; Trematoda; Strigeidida; Schistosomatidae. The record is from Rfam.